CGAUCAGAUACCGUCGUAGUCUUAACCAUAAACGAUGCCGACCAGCGAUUAGGAGACGUUGAAUACAAAACACCACCAUCGGUGCGGUCGUCCUUGGCGUCGGUCUUCAAAAGCCGGCGCGNGGGGGUGGCUUANCCCGGNGGNACNGGCNAAUGACUCCCCUAGCAGCUUGUGAGAAAUCAUAANUCUUUGGGUUCCGGNGGGAGUNUGGUCGCAAGGCUGAAACUUAAAGGAAUNGACGGAAGGGCACCACCAGGAGUGGAGCCUGCGGNUUAAUUUGACUCANCACGGGGAAACUUACCAGGNCCGGACAUAGUAAGGAUUGACAGAUUGAUAGCUCUUUCUUGAUUCUAUGGGUGG
This 360-nucleotide ribosomal RNA is filed under the name Acanthamoeba sp. OSU # 02-041. RNAcentral's name for it is "partial small subunit ribosomal RNA". It matches the Rfam family "Eukaryotic small subunit ribosomal RNA", at positions 1005 to 1277 of the family's 1831-position model. The record is from RNAcentral. Lineage: Eukaryota; Discosea; Longamoebia; Acanthamoebidae.